GAACCCGUAAGGGGAAGCUGGAAGAAGCCGAAGGCAAACCGACGACCGUAGGAACACGAACAGACAGAGAGGCCUGCCACGGGAGGCGAGUAUGCCAGGAAAUGCGAAUGGGCUGUCAAAGAAACGUGGGUGGUAGAGUCUGGCGGCGCGUCGGGAAAGUUUGCGCA
Smithella sp. F21 is the source of this 167-nucleotide non-coding RNA. The record is from Rfam. NCBI's taxonomy places the organism in Bacteria, Pseudomonadati, Thermodesulfobacteriota, Syntrophia, Syntrophales, Smithellaceae.